This 87-nucleotide ribosomal RNA is filed under the name Pestalotiopsis carveri. RNAcentral's name for it is "partial 28S ribosomal RNA". The stretch from base 12 to 87 matches the Rfam family "Eukaryotic large subunit ribosomal RNA", at positions 1 to 76 of the family's 3401-position model. Lineage: Eukaryota; Fungi; Ascomycota; Sordariomycetes; Amphisphaeriales; Sporocadaceae. The record is from RNAcentral.
UUUUUAAUGGUUGACCUCGGAUCAGGUAGGAAUACCCGCUGAACUUAAGCAUAUCAAUAAGCGGAGGAAAAGAAACCAACAGGGAUU